UCCCAUAUCUUGGAAAAGACCCCAGUCGUCCUUCUGGAGAGAGACUUUCUGAAAAUGUGAAACCAAGAAGGUGAAUAGGAGAGUGAGAGUGAGCAACCCCCCACAAACUUGGCCAACGUGUGGGGGGUUGCUCACAG
Long non-coding RNA from Melanotaenia boesemani (Boeseman's rainbowfish), 137 nucleotides. RefSeq lists it as uncharacterized. The transcript is spliced from 3 exons. Lineage: Eukaryota; Metazoa; Chordata; Actinopteri; Atheriniformes; Melanotaeniidae. The record is from RefSeq and is a predicted model, not a curated record.